GGGGAAUAUUGGGCAAUGGACGCAAGUCUGACCCAGCAACGCCGCGUGAAGGAAGAAGGCUUUCGGGUUGUAAACUUCUUUUAAGGGGGAAGAGUAGAAGACGGUACCCCUUGAAUAAGCCACGGCUAACUACGUGCCAGCAGCCGCGGUAAUACGUAGGUGGCGAGCGUUGUCCGGAAUUACUGGGCGUAAAGGGUGCGUAGGCGGGAUAUUAAGUUAGAUGUGAAAACCCUGAGCUUAACUUGGGGACUGCAUUUAAAACUGGUAACCUAGAGUGCAGGAGAGGUAAGCGGAAUUCCUAGUGUAGCGGUGAAAUGCGUAGAUAUUAGGAAGAACAUCAGUGGCGAAGGCGGCUUACUGGACUGUAACUGACGCUGAUGCACGAAAGCGUGGGGAGCAAACA
RNAcentral lists this ribosomal RNA (403 nucleotides) under uncultured Eubacteriales bacterium. RNAcentral describes it as "bacterial SSU rRNA". It matches the Rfam family "Bacterial small subunit ribosomal RNA", at positions 356 to 774 of the family's 1533-position model. Lineage: Bacteria; Bacillati; Bacillota; Clostridia; Eubacteriales. The record is from RNAcentral.